GAAUCAUUAGCUCAGCUGGCAGAGCACCUGACUUUUAAUCAGGGUGUCCGGGGUUCGAAUCCCCGAUGGUUCA
RNAcentral lists this transfer RNA (73 nucleotides) under Clostridium sp. MSTE9. It matches the Rfam family "tRNA". Rfam says of the family: Transfer RNA (tRNA) molecules are approximately 80 nucleotides in length. Lineage: Bacteria; Bacillati; Bacillota; Clostridia; Eubacteriales; Clostridiaceae. The record is from Rfam by way of RNAcentral. RNAcentral also lists the same sequence under 3 other names.